GGUGGCUGGACGGUAAUGCUAGGGAAGCUAGAGGUUUGGUUUUGUUUUGGUCAAAAAAGUUGAAGAAAGAUGAGUGGUGAAGUUGGAUUUAUGAAGGUAGAACUUGGUUUUGCUAUGCUUGUGUUGAUUUGCAUUUGAAACUUGGGUUUCUUUGUGUGUGUUCUCGGUAAUGGAGCAUGGAAGGAACAAUUUGAAUGUUGCUUGUUGAAGAAAAACCAAAAAGAGUGGUGCAAGGAGAGAGAAUGCUUCAUUUAAUUCUUUACCUCAUUUGGCCAUGCACAUGAAGGGGAAAUUUUCCAUAGGAAGGAAUAUUUCCAUUUUGGUUUUGUCUUGCUAUCACUUGAAAUUGCCAUGAGUAGCUUUGGAGAUGGGAGGUUAUUGUGAUUGUUUUCCCUUGCCUUGACUUUGCACAUNUGGCAUCUUGAAAGAAGAGAUUAAAGUACCCCUUUGACUUGUGGACUUUUUAGAAGCAUUCUUUGCACCCAACUAUUGCAUUGCUCACGUGAAUUUGUGUGGCUUGGUGUGUGGUUUUGUUUUUGCUACAUGGAAAGGAGUGGUGGGAGGAUUUUGAAUGAUUUGGAAGGCAUAUGAUUGUUGUCUUGAAGUAUGGUGCAUAUGAGACAAAGAGUCAACACAUCUUGCAUGGUUCAUUUAAGGAAGAAAGUCAAGAAUUGAAGUUGGGCCUUGGUGGGCUAGGAGCUCACGACCCAAGGGGGUUUUCUCAAGCUAAUUGCACUUUUAAUUUGAUUUGGUAGAUGAAUAUUGGUCACAUAAUUGAUGGAUGAAAAAACAUGUUUAAUUACCCAUUUGUUUUGCAUUAAUUUGCAUAGUAGGAUUANUNGCUUUUGAUGUCUCUAAUUUAGUGUUGCAUUUUAUAGUCUUACUUGUGUUUAGAUAAUUGUUUGUUGAAAUGUUGGGAUUAGCACUUUAUUUUACCUUGAUGUUUUCUAACUUACACAGUUGAGUUUAAUGUCCAUUCGUUUUAAUUUAGUUAUUCGUAUUCGCAAAAACACUUUUCAAAACCCCCCCUUUUCGUGUUAGACUUGACUCUGAACCGUAGUUGGUCCUUGAGAGACGACCUAGGGGUCAUUCCCUAGCAUUAUACUGCAGUUCUAAAUUGCAAUCAAAUUUGUAUGGGCAGCGACACCCAUCACUCACUAUCAAGAAUCAGGGAGUCUUGAGAGAACAUUAUUCAUUGGAACUGCAUAGGGGGAGGUUACUAUUCUAUCGGGGGGCAUUCACUACAGAGAGGGAUCAUCGAUUUCGCGAGAGAUUUUCUCAUCUUCACUUGCAGAGAGGAACAAGGGGCGCCAACCAGAGGGAGGAGAAGGAGGCCAAGCACGAAGCUGACUAAGACAAGUAGAGGGGUAAGUAUCCUUGCUCCUUCUGUUGCAUGGUAAGUUGCUUUUGUUCUGGCUGAGUAUGAUAUGAUAGUAUGAAUAUGUUCCUUUAUCCGCCAUUGUUCAACGCACAAGUGCUUCACCUUUAAUCAAUCCUCUCCUUGAUUCUUCCUCGGAUGGCUUCCAUGCGCCAUUUUACUGCUUAUAUUUCCAUGUUCAUCCUACUUGAUAUACCCUGUUCAUGGUUCCCCUGCUACACAUAAGCCAACAAAGAAUCAACCAAUCUUCCAGCCCCAUUCACGGUCCUAUUCUCCUCAUCACUACCGCGUCUUCAUACACCAUUUGCAAACCAAAUCAACCCUUUCCAUCGCAACAUCAACACGCACAGUGCCCCUCAUACCACACACAUAACACCAAAAAAAACUCACACGUAGUUAAACAGAAAAUCACACAGAGCACCACAGAACCGAACCAAUGGUACCCGUGCCAUACCCCCCUUUACCUGCAUCAAAUGAAUCCACCGCCAUCCCAUAGCCACUUUUCGAUUUCUCUCCGCCGUCAAGAUCAUCUAAUGGACUCCAUAUGUCGUUCACAUCCCCAUUAUCAUCCUUGUCAUUACACCUCUGUUCCUAGCUUCCCUGCAGAAAAAUAUCACAAAAGAGAACAAACCAAUAUUCAAACCCAAACCCCCA
RNAcentral lists this long non-coding RNA (2032 nucleotides) under Vigna radiata. RNAcentral describes it as "long non-coding RNA (VRAD_LNC004198)". Lineage: Eukaryota; Viridiplantae; Streptophyta; Magnoliopsida; Fabales; Fabaceae. The record is from RNAcentral.